AGAAGACUUGGUCCUGAUCUGUCUUAAUAGCUUUUAGCCUAAGAUUACACAUGGCUUUAUUUGAUCGUGAUGAGGGGGCUAUGAGUCUAUAAAAUCUUAAUUACAUUAAGUUUUAUUAGUUCAAGCUAAGAUUUUAUUUUUAACAUUAUAUCUUAAUAGGCUCAUUAACACCAGUGUUGAAUUUUAUUUUUUUGCGAAAGCAUGAAUUAGUUUGGCUAUCUUAGAUCUGGUAAAUUAGGUGCCAGCAGCCGCGGUUACACCUUAGAGAUCAAGUUAUUAUAUUAAAGGUAAAAAGGUAGUUAAACAAGAAGUCAUAGCCAUAAAAAGGAGUGCCUGUUGAGGUGAAAUUCUUUAAGGUACUUGAAGCCUAAAUAAAGCUGUUAUUGUUGACACUACGAAAACUAAGAUAGAAACUGGGAUUAGAUACCCCACUAUUCUUAGAUGUAAAUUGACAUGUUGUCUACCAGAGCACUACGAAUAUCUUAUUUAAAACUCAAAGGACUUGGCGGUGCUUUAGACCCCUUAGGGGAACCUGUUUCGUAAUCGACAGUCCACGUUACACCUUUCCUUUAGUUGCAAAUAUCAGUAUGUAUACCGUCGUCGUCAGGUAACUUUUAAGAACCAUAGAAGUUAGCCAUAAAAUUCGCUUAUAAGUUUUAACGUCAGAUCAAGGUGCAGCUCAUAAAAAGGAGAGAAUGGGUUACAAUUAAAAAUUAUAAUUAUGGAAGAGAAAUUGAAAUUUUUCUUUGAAGGAGGACUUGAAAGUAAAAAAGCUAUAAUAAAAGUUGCUUGAAUAUGUAUGGCUCUGAAGCGUGCACACAUCGCCCGUCGCUCUCGCUGAAAGGUGAGAUAAGUCGUAACAUAGUAAGAGUAAUGGAAGUUGCUCUUAGUCAGCA
RNAcentral lists this ribosomal RNA (896 nucleotides) under Melanoides tuberculata. Its description in RNAcentral is "12S ribosomal RNA". It matches the Rfam family "Microsporidia small subunit ribosomal RNA". Lineage: Eukaryota; Metazoa; Mollusca; Gastropoda; Thiaridae. The record is from RNAcentral.